AGAGUUUGAUCCUGGCUCAGGACGAACGCUGGCGGCGUGCUUAACACAUGCAAGUCGAACGAAGCACUUUAUUUGAUUUCCUUCGGGACUGAUUAUUUUGUGACUGAGUGGCGGACGGGUGAGUAACGCGUGGGUAACCUGCCUUGUACAGGGGGAUAACAGUUGGAAACGGCUGCUAAUACCGCAUAAGCGCACAGCAUCGCAUGAUGCAGUGUGAAAAACUCCGGUGGUAUAAGAUGGACCCGCGUUGGAUUAGCUAGUUGGUGAGGUAACGGCCCACCAAGGCGACGAUCCAUAGCCGACCUGAGAGGGUGACCGGCCACAUUGGGACUGAGACACGGCCCAAACUCCUACGGGAGGCAGCAGUGGGGAAUAUUGCACAAUGGGCGAAAGCCUGAUGCAGCGACGCCGCGUGAGCGAAGAAGUAUUUCGGUAUGUAAAGCUCUAUCAGCAGGGAAGAUAAUGACGGUACCUGACUAAGAAGCACCGGCUAAAUACGUGCCAGCAGCCGCGGUAAUACGUAUGGUGCAAGCGUUAUCCGGAUUUACUGGGUGUAAAGGGAGCGCAGGCGGUGCGGCAAGUCUGAUGUGAAAGCCCGGGGCUCAACCCCGGUACUGCAUUGGAAACUGUCGUACUAGAGUGUCGGAGGGGUAAGCGGAAUUCCUAGUGUAGCGGUGAAAUGCGUAGAUAUUAGGAGGAACACCAGUGGCGAAGGCGGCUUACUGGACGAUAACUGACGCUGAGGCUCGAAAGCGUGGGGAGCAAACAGGAUUAGAUACCCUGGUAGUCCACGCCGUAAACGAUG
This 805-nucleotide ribosomal RNA is filed under the name uncultured bacterium. Its description in RNAcentral is "bacterial SSU rRNA". It matches the Rfam family "Bacterial small subunit ribosomal RNA", at positions 8 to 811 of the family's 1533-position model. The record is from RNAcentral.